This 2854-nucleotide ribosomal RNA is filed under the name freshwater metagenome. Its description in RNAcentral is "bacterial LSU rRNA". It matches the Rfam family "Bacterial large subunit ribosomal RNA". The record is from RNAcentral.
AAAGCAAUGAGAGGAUGCCUUGGGUAAAAAGGAGUAUGAAGGACGUAAUUGGUUGCGAUAAGCUACGAUGAGGUGCCAAUAGCCGCUUGAAGUCGUAGAUUUCCGAAUGGGGUAACCUGAUCUGUAUAUCAGAUCGCCAAAUGGCCAGAACCUGGUGAAGUGAAAUAUCUCAGUAGCCAGAGGAAAAGAAAUCGUAAGAGAUUCCCGUAGUAGUGACGAGCGAACUGGGAAGAGUCCAAACUCACAUAGUGUAAGGUGCUAGCCGUUGCUAUGAUGAGGGUUGUAGGAGUGUUGAGGAUCCACUAGUAAGGUUCCAGGGAGAGUAUGUUUAUUUAGAAGAAAUAUCUGAAAAGGUAUACCGCAGACGGUGAAAGUCCCGUAUUCAAAAAAUAAACAACCCCCCAAUACCACCUGAGUAGCGUCGGACACGAGAAAUCCGGCGUGAAUCCGCCCAGACCACUGGGUAAGACUAAAUACUUUUUUACACCGAUAGCGUAUAGUACCGUGAGGGAAAGGUGAAAAGAACCCCAGGAAGGGGAGUGAAAUAGAUUCUGAAACUCAUUGCUUACAAGGGAGUUGGAGCUCGCAAGAGUGACAGCGUACCUAUUGACGAAUGGGUCAGCGAGUUAUUGGUAGUAGCGAGGUUAAGGCAGGAAUAGCCGGAGCCGUAGGGAAACCGAGUCUGAAUAGGGCGUUUAGUUGCUAUUAAUAAACCCGAAGCGUGACGAGCUACGCAUGGGCAGGAUGAAGAGUUGGGAAACUGACUUGGAGGUCCGAACGGUUUGGUGCUGCAAAACCUUCCGAUGACCUGUGCGUAGGAGUGAAAAGCUCAUCGAGUUACGUGAUAGCUGGUUCUCUCCGAAAUGCAUAUAGGUGCAGCCUGCAAAUUAGAUCUUAUAGAGGUAGAGCUCUUAUAAGGCUAGGGGUGUCGAAAGGCAUUACCAAACCUUGUUAAACUUCGAAUGCUAUAAGGAAUUUUGUGGAGUGAGACUGUGGGGGCUAAGCUUCAUAGUCGAAAGGGUAACAGCCCUAAUUUCUGAUUAAGGUCCCUAAAGUAUGACUAAGUGGUAAAAGAGGUGCUUUUGCUUAAACAUCCAGGAGGUUUGCUUAGAAGCAGCAAUCCUUUAAAGAAAGCGUAAUAGCUCACUGGACAAGCGAAAGUGCGCUGAAGAUGUAACGGGGCUAAGUCAUAUACCGAAAUCGAAAGUCUUCUAACUAUGUUAGAAGGCGGUAGGAGAGUGUUCUUUACUGGCUGAAGGUCUGGCGUAAGCUUGGCUGGACGGUAAAGAAGUAAAAAUGCUGACAUGAGUAACGACGCAAGACGAAAAUUCUUGCUGCCGAAACCCUAAGGAUUCCAACGCAACGUUCAUCGUCGUUGGGUUAGGCGGGACCUAAGACUUCCUCGGAAACGAGAUGUCGAUGGAUAGCUGGUUAAUAUUCCAGCCCUUAUAUAAAGAGUGAUGGGGUAACACAUUGGGAUGUGUGGGAGCGUACGAAGGAUAUGGUACGUUGAAAGAGCAAGAUAUUCCGACUUCGGUUGGAUAGUAGAGAUAGGCAAAUCCGUCUUUAUAUCAUUCGAGCUUGAUCAGAAAGGAUUCCCUCGGGAUGAAUGAUUCUCAUAGUUUUGGUGUCAAGAAAAACCUCUAAACUUAUCUUUAUAUAACUCGUACCCAGAUCAGACACUUGUAGGGUGGUAGAGAAUACCAAGGCAAUCGAGACAACUAAUGAAUAAGGAACUUGGCAAAAUAGCGGGCGUAAGUUUGCAAUAAGCCCUGCCUGGAGCAAUUCAGGCCGCAGCGAAUGAUGUGGGGGGGACUGUUUAUCAAAAACACAGCUCUCUGCUAACUCGAAAGAGGAUGUAUAGAGGGUGAUGCCUGUCCAAUGCCAGAAUGUCAUGCUCUCUUGUGAAAGCUCGAGAGUUAAGCACUGGUGAAUGACGGCCGUAACUAUGACGGUCCUAAGGUAGCGAAAUACCUUGUCGGGUAAGUUCCGACGCGCAUGAAUGGCAUAACCAUCCCCACGCUGUCUUAUUUUUAGACUCGGUGAAAUUACAUUCCCGGUAAAAAUGCCGGGUAGUUGCAGUUAGACGGAAAGACCCUGUGAAGCUUUACUGUAGAUUGAUAUUGGGGUGUAGCAUACAUUGCUCAGAAUAAGUGGGAGACUUUGAGGUUUGGUUUUCGGACCAGGUUGAGUCACAAGUGAGAUACCACUCAAUAUAUGUAGCAUCUCUAACCCCCCAACAAGGGGGAACAGUGUCAGUUGGACAGUUUACCUGGGGCGGGUGCCUCCUAAAAAGUAACGGAGGCGUACAAAGGUUUGCUUGUCACGGAUGGAAACCGUGAUGGAAGUGUAUUCGCAUAAGCAAGCUUAACUGUGAGACUAACAGGUCGAACAGAUACGAAAGUAGGUGAAAGUGAUCCGGAUCUUCCAUGUGGAAGGGGAUCCGCUCAACGGAUAAAAGUUACUCCGGGGAUAACAGGCUAAUGGGAUCUAAGCGUUCAUAGCGACGAUUCCGUUUGGCACCUCGAUGUCGACUCGUCGCAUCCUGGGGCUGUAGAAGGUCCCAAGGGUUGGGCUGUUCGCCCAUUAAAGCGGGACGCGAGUUGGGUUCAGAACGUCGUGAGACAGUUCGGUCCCUAUCUACUGCAACCGUAAGCAAUUUGCGGAAUGCUGUCCCUAGUACGAGAGGACCGGGAUGGACUAGCCUCUAGUUGACCAGUUGUCAUGCCAGUGGCACGGCUGGGUAGCCACGCUAGGAAAAGAUAACCACUGAAAGCAUCUAAGUGGGAAACUUGUUCCAAGAUUAGAUUGCUCUCUCUUCGGAGGUAAGACCUCCCGUAGACUACGGGUUUGA